UAACUUUAAUUAUGUCUCUCCCUCUCCAUCCCACUUUCUUCCUCUCUGUUAACUAGGGGCUAUAGAACAGGUGAACCCUGGUGCAGACACAGACAAGGAGACAGGAAUAAGAUUUUUCAAACCAAAAGAAGCAAGACAAGGAGCUUCUGUUCAACAUGGACAGAUUGCCUUGAGAUGCCGAAGAUCCCUCAGACUCCUGCCAGUGACCCUGUCAUCCCUCGACUACAGAAAUCAGAAGACAUGUGUGAGCCAAACUUUGAAGAAAACAAGAAGUCUUUCACUGACUGACACCAAUUUUCUAACCAUACUGUUACUUAAAAUAUCUAAAUACGCAGCUGCUGUCUCAGUCCUCACGCAUGAAUCUCAACAGUUAUUAACAUGUGAUUACAUUUUCAUUCACUUCACAUUACCUUCACUAAAUGCAUAGCCAUAAACUCAUAUCAAAGGAAGUUCAGCAUCAGGGUUGGUAACAAGCAAGUCAGGAUAGAGUAGGAGAGAGAUAGAGUAGUUCUCCUGACUAAUAGAGGAGCAGGACUGAUUGCUCUAAUCUGUGCAAAUCAACCAAUGCCCCUGCUUGUCAGCUAGACAGGUUGUGUGUGAGGAAUGAGAAGGAAAUAAUGUGUUCAGACAUAUUUAGGGAACAUUUUUGGAAUACUCAUACUCAGCAUACAGAUUGACAGCAGACAUGUGGAUCUUAGGAGGAGCACUGAGUUUAACAUUUUUAAAACCAGAUUUUUCUGAUGUCAAUAAAAUGCAGAUUUGUAGAUUUAGGAAGCACUAAAAUAACAAAGUGGACCCUUUCUUUAGUUUUUGGCAAUAUUUAUGGAGGUAAUUAAACACAUUUUCAGUUUAUUUUUGGUAAUAAUACUGAGCCCUGGCACUAAGUGUCUGGCAAAGAUUCGGCCCAGACUGUUAACAGCGCUGCGGCUGUACCUCUCAGCUGAGACUAUGCCAAAUCGGCCUGCCCAGACUACGUGAUGUCGGGCCCAGUGUUUUUGUUCCAG
Molecule: long non-coding RNA, 1004 nt
Organism: Thunnus maccoyii (southern bluefin tuna)
Lineage: Eukaryota; Metazoa; Chordata; Actinopteri; Scombriformes; Scombridae
Exons: 3
Source: RefSeq, a predicted model, not a curated record